Molecule: ribosomal RNA, 253 nt
Filed under: uncultured bacterium
Lineage: Bacteria
Description: partial 16S ribosomal RNA
Rfam family: Bacterial small subunit ribosomal RNA
Source: RNAcentral
UACAGAGACUGCAAGCGUUAUUCGGAUUCACUGGGCGUAAAGGGUGCGCAGGCGGCCAAGUGUGUUAGGCGUGAAAGCCUGGGGCUUAACCCCAGAAUUGCACCUAAAACUACAUGGCUAGAGCAUUGGAGAGGGUAGCGGAAUUCACGGUGUAGCAGUGAAAUGCGUAGAUAUCGAGAGGAACACCUGCGGCGAAGGCGGGUUGCUGGGCUGACACUGACGCUGAGGCGCGAAAGCUAGGGGAGCGAACGGG